CCUACGGGAGGCAGCAGUAGGGAAUCUUCCACAAUGGGCGAAAGCCUGAUGGAGCAACGCCGCGUGGGUGGAGAAGGUCUUCGGAUCGUAAAACCCUGUUGUUAGAGAAGAAAGUGCGUGAGAGUAACUGUUCACGUUUCGACGGUAUCUAACCAGAAAGCCACGGCUAACUACGUGCCAGCAGCCGCGGUAAUACGUAGGUGGCAAGCGUUAUCCGGAUUGAUUGGGCGUAAAGGGAACGCAGGCGGUCUUUUAAGUCUGAUGUGAAAGCCUUCGGCUUAACCGGAGUAGUGCAUUGGAAACUGGGAGACUUGAGUGCAGAAGAGGAGAGUGGAACUACAUGUGUAGCGGUGAAAUGCGUAGAUAUAUGGAAGAACACCAGUGGCGAAAGCGGCUCUCUGGUCUGUAACUGACGCUGAGGUUCGAAAGCGUGGGUAGCAAACAGGAUUAGAUACCCGGGUAGUC
RNAcentral lists this ribosomal RNA (465 nucleotides) under uncultured bacterium. RNAcentral describes it as "partial 16S ribosomal RNA". It matches the Rfam family "Bacterial small subunit ribosomal RNA", at positions 338 to 795 of the family's 1533-position model. The record is from RNAcentral.